RNAcentral lists this ribosomal RNA (3138 nucleotides) under Ligia italica. RNAcentral's name for it is "small subunit ribosomal RNA". It matches the Rfam family "Eukaryotic small subunit ribosomal RNA". The record is from RNAcentral. Lineage: Eukaryota; Metazoa; Arthropoda; Malacostraca; Isopoda; Ligiidae.
AACCUGGUUGAUCCUGCCAGUAGUCAUAUGCUUGUCUCAAAGAUUAAGCCAUGCAUGUCUCAGUACAGGCCGACCUAAGGCGAAACCGCGAAUGGCUCAUUAAAUCAGUCAUGAUUCAUUGGAUGUAGUAAAAAUCCAAUUUUUACUCGGAUAACUGUGGUAAUUCUAGAGCUAAUACAGGCGAUCGAGCUCCGACCCCGGCCGGCGUGUCCAGCGCCCGUUGGCCGACCUCCCAACCCGUCGCCCUUCGCGGCGCGGGCGGACGGACCCGGCGGCGGGUUUAGCGGCGUCGGUGCCAUUGGGGGAAGGGCGCUUUUAUUAGAUCAAAGACUGACUUCCGGGCUUCGGUCCGGACGCUUAAAAAAAGGUCGAUGAUGACUCUGAAUAACCUAGCCGAGCGCUGCGGUCCUAGUACCGGCGCCGUAUCCUUCGAGUGUCUGCCUUAUCAGCUUUCGAUUGUAGGUUAAACGCCUACAAUGGCUGUAACGGGUAACGGGGAAUCAGGGUUCGAUUCCGGAGAGGGAGCCUGAGAAACGGCUACCACAUCUAAGGAAGGCAGCAGGCACGCAAAUUACCCACUCCCGGCACGGGGAGGUAGUGACGAAAAAUAACGAUGCGGGACUCUUCCGAGGCCUCGCAAUCGGAAUGAGUUCACUUUAAAUCCUUGCAACGAGGAUCCAUUGGAGGGCAAGUCUGGUGCCAGCAGCCGCGGUAAUUCCAGCUCCAAUAGCGUAUAUUAAUGUUGCUGCGGUUAAAAAGCUCGUAGUUUGACUUCCUGUUCGGGGCGGGCAGCAGUUUCGGCCCCGCGCGGGUCGAGCUCUCCCGUUCGCCGACGGGGAGCGCGGAGGGCCCUUUUUUUAAUGGUCGCCCGCGUCGCAUUUUACGGUGCGCGCGUUUUCGUCGCCCCCGGGUCCCCGUGUCCUUUCCCCGCGCUUUAACGGCGGGGAUGUGCGCGGUGGAUGCGAGGAGCGCGGCGCGAGGCAAAGAUGAGAGAGUUUCGUUUUCGAACGUCGUUCGGAGGACGCGUUCGGGACGGACCGCGGCAGCAGCACUAACUAGUCGCGGCGGCGUCGAAGAGUUACUUAGUUAGCUAGCUAGCUACUAGCGAGCGAGCGAGCGAGCGAGCGAGAGUCGGGCCAAAAAGGCUUCCGCGGUCGCGGGCGCGCACGAGCGAGUAUCGGGUGGGUUCCCCAUUCGGUACGUCGUCAUCGUUGUGGCGUUCGGACGCGGGAGUUCCUUUCCGUCGUCUCCUCCUCCUCCUCCAUAGUACUACUGCUACUACUAGCUCGUCAAAAUCCGUCGUCGUCGACUCUGUGUGUGUGUGUGUGUGUCGCGGCCGAACCACCCCGCAACGCUUACUUCGGCCGCGGCGUGUCGAGCGAUAUCUCUCUCAAAAAUAAAACCUCGCCCGCGUUUUCCCCUUCCACCGAGGAGCUCCCCCUCCUAGCGGGUUUCGGAACGGGUGAGCCCGUCGGGGAAUCACGGCGGCCGCGUACGCGCGGCGCGUAAGCGACAUUUUAAAAAGCCUCCGGUCUUUGCUCCUCCCGGCGAAUCAUGGCGGGAGUUUAAAAGCGACGAUUUCCGUCGCGGGUGUCGAACGACCUCCCGUACCCGGAUUCUUUUAAACCCGCCGACGCUCACGGGGUGCUCUUCACCGGGUGCCCCGCGUGGUCGGCAAUUACACUUUGAAAAAAUUAGAGUGCUCAAAGCAGGCUUCUAAACGAAAAUGCCUGAAUGGUGGUGCAUGGCAUGUUAGAACAGGACCUCGGUUCCAAAGCUUUCUUGCGGUCGGUCUUUCGGGACACCGAGGUAAUGAUUAAUGGAAGCGGUCGGGGGCAUUAGUAUUGCGGCGCUAGAGGUGAAAUUCUUGGACCGUCGCAAGACUGACUACAGCGAAAGCAUUUGCCAAGUACGCUUUCAUUAAUCAAGAACGAAAGUUAGAGGAUCGAAGGCGAUCAGAUACCGCCCUAGUUCUAACCGUAAACGAUGCUAACUGGCGAUCCGCCGGAGUCAAUCCCACGACUCGGCGGGGAGCCCCCGGGAAACCGAAGUUUUCGAGUUCCGGGGGAAGUAUGGUUGCAAAGCUGAAACUUAAAGGAAUUGACGGAAGGGCACCACCAGGAGUGGAGCCUGCGGCUUAAUUUGACUCAACACGGGGAACCUCACCAGGUCCGGGCACCGGAAGGAUUGACAGAUUGAGAGCUCUUUCUCGAUUCGGUGGAUGGUGGCGCAUGGCCGUUCUUAGUUGGUGGAGCGAUCUGUCUGGUUUAUUCCGAUAACGAACGAGACUCUGCCCUAUUAACUAGUCGGCGGAUCCUAUCCCCGCGUUUACCUUCGUCCGUCCUCGGGGGUAUGAACGGAGGUCAACGGCGCGGUACGCUUCCGCGGGGCCGUCGUUGUCGCGCGAGCGCUCGUACGUCGGUCCGGAGCGCGUCGGUGGCUCGUCGUCGUCGUCGUUGUCGUUGCCGCCGGUCCUGCUCGUCGUUGUCGUCGUAUGGCGGCUGCGGCGGGUCGGGGUCGGUUGUUGCGGCUGCGACGGCGGCGGCGGGUGCCGGCGUUCAACUCCGGGUUCGGCUCGCUCCGCGGCGCGAGGUCUCGUUCCGGGGCUUCCGCGUCGCUCCAUCCUCGAUGGGCGGGCGGGGCCGGGGACGUCCGUCGCAACUUCUUCUUAGAGGGAUAAACGGCAUACAGCCGAACGAGAUAGAGCAAUAACAGGUCUGUGAUGCCCUUAGAUGUUCUGGGCCGCACGCGCGCUACAAUGAAGGGCUCAGCGCGCUUUCCCCCUCCGAGAGGAGCGGGUAACCGAAUGAAAUUCCUUCCCGAUUGGGAUUGGGAUUUGCAAGUGUUUCCCAUGAACGAGGAAUUCCCAGUAAGCGCGAGUCAUUAGCUCGCGUUGAUUACGUCCCUGCCCUUUGUACACACCGCCCGUCGCUACUACCGAUUGAAUGAUUCAGUGAGGGCAUCGGACUGGCGCCCUCGGUAUAUGACCCCCGUCGCGUUCGUCCGCGUAAUCUUCGGGACCGCGGCGAAGCUUCGGUCUAGGUCGCCCUCGGGCUGACGGAAAGAUGUCCGAACUCGAUCAUUUAGAGGAAGUAAAAGUCGUAACAAGGUUUCCGUAGGUGAACUGCGGAAGGAUCA